GCUUGGAAGCAGCCAUUCAUUUAAAGAGUGCGUAACAGCUCACUAGUCGAGGAGUUUGGCGUGGAUAAUAAUCGGGCAUAAGUAUUCUACCGAAGCUUUGGGAUGAGAAAUCAUCGGUAGGGGAGCAUUCCACUCGGCGUCGAAGGUGAAGCGCGAGCUUUGCUGGAGCGUGUGGAAAAGCAAAUGUAGGUAUAAGUAACGAUAAAGGGGGUGGGAAACCCCCUCGCCGAAAGACUAAGGUUUCCUGAUCAACGCUAAUCGGAUCAGGGUAAGUCGGGUCCUAAGGCUCAGCCGAACGGCGAGGCCGAUGGCAGAACCGGUUAAUAUUCCGGUACUACCUGUGGGAGUGACGUGGAGACGGAGUCGUGACAGCGCCGCGGACUGACGGAAUAGUCCGUUGAAGGGUGUAGAUGCUGAUUGUUCCAGGCAAAUCCGGAGCAAGAGUCGAACCUGAUAGUAUGGAGCGUUCUUAGAACAAUCCAAUAGUGCGUGUAAUCAUACUUCCAAGAAAAUCCGCUAAACUUAAUCCUGCAGGUACCCGUACCGCAAACGGACACACGUAGUCGGGUUGAAUAUACUAAGGCGCUUGAGUGAUUCACGGUUAAGGAACUAGGCAAACUGACCCUGUAACUUCGGGAUAAAGGGUCCUCGCUUUACGGCGAGGCGCAGAGAAUAGGUCCAGGCAACUGUUUAACAAAAACACAGGGCUGUGCAAAAUUGAAAGAUGAAGUAUACAGCCUGACACCUGCCCGGUGCUGGAAGGUUAAGAGGAGAUGUCAUCGCAAGAGAAGCAUUGAAUUGAAGCCCCAGUAAACGGCGGCCGUAACUAUAACGGUCCUAAGGUAGCGAAAUUCCUUGUCGGGUAAGUUCCGACCUGCACGAAUGGUGUAAUGAUCUGGACGCUGUCUCAACCGUGAGCUCAGUGAAAUUGUAGUAUCGGUGAAGAUGCCGAUUACCCGCGAUGGGACGAAAAGACCCCGUGAACCUUUACUAUAGCUUAACAUUGAAUUUGGGUAAUUGAUGUGUAGGAUAGGCCGGAGGCUUCGAAGCAGGUACGCCAGUAUUUGUGGAGCCGCUGUUGAAAUACGGCCCUUUGAUUAUUUGAGUUCUAACCCGUUGUUGCGGGGACACUGUUUGGUGGGUAGUUUGACUGGGGUGGUCGCCUCCAAAAGUGUAACGGAGGCUUCUAAAGGUGCCCUCACGACGAUUGGUAACCGUCGGCAGAGUGUAAUGGCAUAAGGGCGCUUGACUGGGAGACUUACAAGUCGAUCAGGUAGGAAACUAGAGCAUAGUGAUCCGGUGUUUCUGUAUGGAAAGGACAUCGCUCAAAGGAUAAAAGGUACUCCGGGGAUAACAGGCUGAUCCCUCCCA
RNAcentral lists this ribosomal RNA (1371 nucleotides) under human gut metagenome. Its description in RNAcentral is "bacterial LSU rRNA". It matches the Rfam family "Bacterial large subunit ribosomal RNA", at positions 1104 to 2494 of the family's 2925-position model. The record is from RNAcentral.